Engraulis encrasicolus (European anchovy) is the source of this 71-nucleotide small nucleolar RNA. RefSeq annotates it as small nucleolar RNA R38. NCBI's taxonomy places the organism in Eukaryota, Metazoa, Chordata, Actinopteri, Clupeiformes, Engraulidae. The transcript has a single exon. The record is from RefSeq and is a predicted model, not a curated record.
ACAAGUUUUAUGAUGAAUUUUGUUAUCCCUGUCUGAACUUCGGUGUGGAUUUUUGGUAACCUGAAACUUGU